CUUGGGGUGUCUGACCAUGCAGUCGAGCGGUAAGGCCCUUUCGGGGGUACACGAGCGGCGAACGGGUGAGUAACACGUGGGUGACCUGCCCUCCACUCUGGGAUAAGCCCGGGAAACUGGGACUAAUACCGGAUAGGACCACUGAUCGCAUGGUUGGUGGUGGAAAGUUUUUUCGGUGGGGGAUGGGCCCGCGGCCUAUCAGCUUGUUGGUGGGGUGAUGGCCUACCAAGGCGGUGACGGGUAGCCGGCCUGAGAGGGCGACCGGUCACUCUGGGACUGAGACACGCCCUAGAUUCCUACUGGAGGCAUCAGGGGGGAAUAUUGCGCAAUGGGCGGAAGCCUGAUGCGGCGACACCGCGUGGGGGAUGACGGUCUUCGGGUUGUAAACCUCUUGGGCCACGGACGAAGAGCGAUUGACGGCACCUGGAUAAGAAGCACCGGGAUGCUACGUGCCACAUAUCGCGUGAAUCCGUAUGGGGCGAUCGUUGUACAGAAUUAUUGGGCGUAAAGAGCUCGGUACGAAGACCUCCUCCGGACGCGAAAACUUGUAUCUUAACUCUGUCUUGGCGGUCCAUACGGGCUUCUUUUUUCUCCGGCGCGUGAGAGUCGAACUAUGGGAUAGCUCCCAAAAUGUUUGAUGUCAAGAGGAACAACCAAUUGUGGACAGAAAUCUGUAGGGCUAGUCAUGGUCAUGAUUGAAUUUGCCUUGAGAUUGCAUGAUCAGAUAAUUUCGAAGUACAUACGAGCCCGAGUCGUCCCCUCGACAGCCGAAGGUGCCACAUAUUUGGUGGCAGCUAAUAAAGCUUGCAUUGCGCUCAAUGGCCGUCUUUCUGGUGAAAGAAAACAGUGCGGACAUAUUCAAUAAGUGAAUCGCUCAAACGACUCGAGAUGUGUCUUUGCGUAUUGAUCGUUCUUACACUUCUCGCUCACUGACUCGCUACUCUCGAUCCUUGGACUGCGGGCUGCGGUAUUCAGGUCCCUCAUACAGAGCUUAAAACUGUCUAUCCAACUUAUCAUGGUCAUGACACAACGGAAUGAAGAUCUCCGCUAAUAGUCGUCAACCAGUCAUCCAUCUCUAUAUAUGACGUAGAUGCUGUCUGACUUUUUGGACAGAUCUGUCUGGGUGUNUCCCGUUGUAUUAAUGACGAGCUUUGCCUACGUCGCGCCCCNUUUUUCGACAGAUCAAAAUGCGU
RNAcentral lists this ribosomal RNA (1193 nucleotides) under Pseudonocardia alni. RNAcentral's name for it is "partial 16S ribosomal RNA". The stretch from base 1 to 731 matches the Rfam family "Bacterial small subunit ribosomal RNA". The record is from RNAcentral. Lineage: Bacteria; Bacillati; Actinomycetota; Actinomycetes; Pseudonocardiales; Pseudonocardiaceae.